UACAGAGGGUGCAAGCGUUAAUCGGAAUUACUGGGCGUAAAGCGUGCGUAGACGGUAGCGUAAGUCGGGUGUGAAAGCCCCGGGCUCAACCUGGGAAUGGCAUUCGAGACUGCUCUGCUAGGGUGCGGAAGAGGGGAGCGGAAUUUCCGGUGUAGCGGUGAAAUGCGUAGAUAUCUGGAGGAGCACCGGUGGCGAAGGCGGCAUCCUGGACCAACACUGACGCUGAGGAGCGAAAGCCAGGGGAGCAAACGGG
RNAcentral lists this ribosomal RNA (253 nucleotides) under uncultured bacterium. Its description in RNAcentral is "partial 16S ribosomal RNA". It matches the Rfam family "Bacterial small subunit ribosomal RNA", at positions 524 to 776 of the family's 1533-position model. The record is from RNAcentral.